Molecule: long non-coding RNA, 222 nt
Filed under: Capsicum annuum
Lineage: Eukaryota; Viridiplantae; Streptophyta; Magnoliopsida; Solanales; Solanaceae
Description: long non-coding RNA (CANN_LNC001506)
Source: RNAcentral
GGAGAACAAGUGAGUCAUGAAAUCGUGCAUUUCAAAGUCGGUUUGAACAAGGACAUCUCCACUUGUUUGACACUUCAUAAGUUUGACACUAUUACUGGCAUCUUUCAAGCGGUAUUAGAGGUGGAAAGAGAGCUCAAAGAGAGCUCAUUCAUGGCUGCCCAAACCGAGAGCACCAAGGCUGCCCCAAAAUAGUCCCGAAGGUAUGAAGGUAAAUCAAUUUAC